AGAGUUUGAUCCUGGCUCAGGACGAACGCCGGCGGCGUGCCUAAUACAUGCAAGUCGAGCGAGCUUGCCUAGAUGAUUUUAGUGCUUGCACUAAAUGAAACUAGAUACAAGCGAGCGGCGGACGGGUGAGUAACACGUGGGUAACCUGCCCAAGAGACUGGGAUAACACCUGGAAACAGAUGCUAAUACCGGAUAACAACACUAGACGCAUGUCUAGAGUUUGAAAGAUGGUUCUGCUAUCACUCUUGGAUGGACCUGCGGUGCAUUAGCUAGUUGGUAAGGUAACGGCUUACCAAGGCAAUGAUGCAUAGCCGAGUUGAGAGACUGAUCGGCCACAUUGGGACUGAGACACGGCCCAAACUCCUACGGGAGGCAGCAGUAGGGAAUCUUCCACAAUGGACGAAAGUCUGAUGGAGCAACGCCGCGUGAGUGAAGAAGGGUUUCGGCUCGUAAAGCUCUGUUGGUAGUGAAGAAAGAUAGAGGUAGUAACUGGCCUUUUAUUUGACGGUAAUUACUUAGAAAGUCACGGCUAACUACGUGCCAGCAGCCGCGGUAAUACGUAGGUGGCAAGCGUUGUCCGGAUUUAUUGGGCGUAAAGCGAGUGCAGGCGGUUCAAUAAGUCUGAUGUGAAAGCCUUCGGCUCAACCGGAGAAUUGCAUCAGAAACUGUUGAACUUGAGUGCAGAAGAGGAGAGUGGAACUCCAUGUGUAGCGGUGGAAUGCGUAGAUAUAUGGAAGAACACCAGUGGCGAAGGCGGCUCUCUGGUCUGCAACUGACGCUGAGGCUCGAAAGCAUGGGUAGCGAACAGGAUUAGAUACCCUGGUAGUCCAUGCCGUAAACGAUGAGUGCUAAGUGUUGGGAGGUUUCCGCCUCUCAGUGCUGCAGCU
This 887-nucleotide ribosomal RNA is filed under the name uncultured bacterium. RNAcentral describes it as "bacterial SSU rRNA". It matches the Rfam family "Bacterial small subunit ribosomal RNA", at positions 8 to 853 of the family's 1533-position model. The record is from RNAcentral.